Long non-coding RNA from Herpailurus yagouaroundi (jaguarundi), 2525 nucleotides. RefSeq lists it as uncharacterized. The record is from RefSeq and is a predicted model, not a curated record. The transcript has 2 exons. NCBI's taxonomy places the organism in Eukaryota, Metazoa, Chordata, Mammalia, Carnivora, Felidae.
CCCUCGAUUCCUUUUUCUAAUGGGUGGAAAGGGUGGGCCACAGAAAGUUGCUGUGGUUUUCACUUGGGUUUCACAGAGGGGUGGUGUAGACGGGCACAGAGGACCCACUGUUCCUGUCCAACUGGCCAGUGGCUGCCCUCACAGAGUACAUGGGGGGGCCAAGAGUGGAAAAACCCCUGUGUCGUGCUUGUGUUUCACCGAUAUGCUCCGGUUAAUUAAAGUGACAGAGACGAUUUAUCAAGAUCCGUAAAAUCCACCCUCUCUCUCCAAGUCCAUGACAUGGCCGCAAGUGACGACACCAAGGCCAGCUUUUUGGCAUUGGAUCCGCUGCCUUUUGGUGUCACUCCCAAGUCAACAUCCUCUCAGAUGUCUUUUGGAAGUUUGCUUGCUUGAAUGUUGGCGGUGUUUGGAAACUGGGUAAUAAAAUGCAAAGUGCAGCGGCUGUUCUAACAAAGGAAAAAAAUGUGAUUGAGGGGGGCUGGGGGACUUCAUCUGGGCUCCGUCCCUGGCAGUUCAUACAAGUUUAUGAUUGCUGUGGGCUUAGAUGAUGUGUGGAAAGAAGCUGACAGGCCUGGCUGGUGCACAUUUGAACUUUAUCCUCUUAAAUCCUGCCUUUCUGAAAUGGGGCGAGUGAAACAGAAACCCCCUCCAGGAGGACUGAGUGCAGUUGGUUUGGGGCUGUGUGGGGGCCAGCGGGUCGUGUCCCUGAGGGCAGGAGCGCCCACACCAGCCGGUUCCGAUCCCAGCACGGCUCCCUGCCUUGCUCCCCUUCCUGAAGGGGCACGUCCAGGGUGCACCGGGGUCAGCUGUCCCCUCCACAAGCUGGCCUGCUUGUGGGGCUACCGCCAACCUAACGGCUCUCCGGGGACAGGCUCGCUGAUGCAAGAUUUGCCUCCUCUGUCCUUAUUCUUCCAAGAAUAAUAAACAAGUCUGUACCCAGACUCCGAGCUGAUGUGUAUCUCCUGGGCCGAAGAAACAUGGAAAGAACAAACAACAUCUUCCCACUCACUUGAGACAUUCUGCUGUUUGGAGCCUUAAGACACAAGAUGUAGGACCGUGAGCCUCCCAGGAAGUAGGGUUGGAACUUGGAAUCUGCAUGAGGACCUGGUCUCUGCAUCCGUGUUUCAGUAGAGUAUUAACAGAAAACUGGAGAUGAGGUGAGGCCAGCAGCUCAGGAGUUGACCUCCACUGGAGAGGAGGGCACAUGCCAGCCACGCAGGGCCACGUGGAGAAGCACCAGGGCCGGUCAGGCCACAGAGGGAGUGAGCAGAUGCAUGACCAGAACCAUACUGUGGUUUCCACAGGAAGGAACCCAGCAGAGAAGAAUUCGCUUCCUGGAGACAGUAUGUGGUUACGGAGCAAACGAGAGGCACUCGGGGUGGAAGAAGUUGACCCCAAGCGUCUGUAUCUGGAGCCUUCCGUGCAGUCACACCCUUGAGUCCUCGCUUAUGGUCUCCCCGCUACACUCAGAAGACCAAGGUCAGAGAGCAUCUGCCCCAGACUCCCCCUGACCCCUCGUGACCUGAAGCAGAAAUACAGACACUGGGGGCGGACAGGUGGGGGGCGCAGGGCCCCCGGCCCACAGACGGGCAUUUUCUCCCUCCACGGCCUGUGCCCUGCGGCCUUGUGCCUGCCUGGCUCCCCGGAGACUGGCCUUGGGCAGUGCUCAGCAGUCCCAGGAGGUGACCGCUGCCCUGGAACCUCCUUGUGCCCACGGCAGGUCUGCGUGCACGAGGCCAGGAGGGGUCAGCCCGCUAUGUGACGUGGAGGCUCAGAGGGCCAGAGACUUUGAUCACGUGAGAUCACAGCUCCGGCUUCUUAACACCAAGUCACGAACAACUGUUGUGAUGACCUCCUUGCAGCCACGGGAGCAGAGGACUCUGGUCAAAAGAGCUGCACCCAAGGUCAGGACCAGCAAGCCCAUCGCGUCCUACAGCUACAGCACAAAGGGAACCUAUUGGCUUCGGAACUCAAGGACCCAAAGGGAGGGCUGGCUUCGGGCAAUAGCUGAGCAGGUGCUCAAAUGCAGGGAGCUGUGUGGGGAGGCUGGAGGGCACAUGUACUGUCUUCCUGCUGAGCCCCAAUGCUCUAAUCCCACCUUCCUACUUACUGGGUCAGGACUGUUUCUCAAGUUCAACAUUUGAUCCCCGGGAUCUGUGACAUAAGGAGUUCAUCCAAGAGAGCUCAGUGGCAUUGGGUGGACGCUGAGUGCAUGGGGCCACUGACCUCUGGAGCCUGGACCACAAAGCGGGUGUAUGCUCCUGCACCCUGCACGGCACACCCUUCCUCCCUGUGCACACAUGAAGUCACCUUCUGCCCUGCCCUCUGGUGAUGACUCUGGCUCCCCAAGAAAACAACCUGUGGUGUGCUGGGGCCACACUCUGCACAACAGAGCUGCCCGCAAGAAAAGGUGAGCUUGCUAGAGAAGGUUCCGGAAAUGAUCUGAUGAGGGGCCGUCUUUUCAAAGCAUAUUCUCUUGCCACUAAAUAAAUAAAUAAAUAAAUAAAUAAAUAAAUAAAUAAAUA